RNAcentral lists this ribosomal RNA (159 nucleotides) under uncultured soil bacterium. RNAcentral describes it as "partial 16S ribosomal RNA". It matches the Rfam family "Bacterial small subunit ribosomal RNA", at positions 26 to 183 of the family's 1533-position model. The record is from RNAcentral.
AGAUUGAACGCUGGCGGCAUGCCUUACACAUGCAAGUCGAACGGCAGCACGGGAGCAAUCCUGGUGGCGAGUGGCGAACGGGUGAGUAAUAUAUCGGAACGUGCCCAGUCGUGGGGGAGUAACGCAGCGAAAGCUGUGCUAAUACCGCAUACGAUCGUC